UUGUCUGUUCAAAUUUUUGCCAAAUGCAUAGGCUUUCUAACAUUAAUAUGAUGCUACUAUAGCAACAAUUUAUGACAGUCCGUUUCACAA
Long non-coding RNA from Sinocyclocheilus rhinocerous, 90 nucleotides. RefSeq lists it as uncharacterized. Lineage: Eukaryota; Metazoa; Chordata; Actinopteri; Cypriniformes; Cyprinidae. The record is from RefSeq and is a predicted model, not a curated record. The transcript has 3 exons.